UCCAGCAGCCGCGGUAAUACGUAGGGUGCGAGCGUUAAUCGGAAUUACUGGGCGUAAAGCGUGCGCAGGCGGUUUUGUAAGUCAGAUGUGAAAUCCCCGGGCUCAACCUGGGAACUGCAUUUGAGACUGCAAGGCUAGAGUGUGGCAGAGGGGGGUAGAAUUCCACGUGUAGCAGUGAAAUGCGUAGAGAUGUGGAGGAAUACCGAUGGCGAAGGCAGCCCCCUGGGCCAAUACUGACGCUCAUGCACGAAAGCGGGGGGAGCAAACAGGAUUAGAUACCCUGGUAGUCCACGCCCUAAACGAUGUCAACUAGGUGUUGGAAGGGUUAAACCUUUUAGUGCCGUAGCUAAC
Molecule: ribosomal RNA, 351 nt
Filed under: Candidatus Accumulibacter phosphatis
Lineage: Bacteria; Pseudomonadati; Pseudomonadota; Betaproteobacteria
Description: bacterial SSU rRNA
Rfam family: Bacterial small subunit ribosomal RNA
Source: RNAcentral